This 431-nucleotide unclassified non-coding RNA is filed under the name soil metagenome. RNAcentral's name for it is "partial contains 5.8S ribosomal RNA, internal transcribed spacer 2, and large subunit ribosomal RNA". The stretch from base 1 to 120 matches the Rfam family "5.8S ribosomal RNA", at positions 35 to 154 of the family's 154-position model. The record is from RNAcentral.
GAUGAAGAACGUAUCGAAAUGCGAUACGUAAUGUGAAUUGCAGAAUUCAGUGAAUCAUCGAAUCUUUGAACGCAUAUUGCGCUCUCUGGUAUUCCGGAGAGCAUGCUUGUUUGAGUAUCAGUAAACACCUCAACUUCCAUAUCUUUUUUGAAAUGGGAGUUGGACUUGAGUGAUCCCAACGCUUUUCCUCACCGAAAAGUGGCGGGUUACUUGAAAUGCAGGUGCAGCUGGACUUUUCUCUGAGCUAUAAGCAUAUCUAUUUAGUCUGCCUAAAAACAGAUUAUUACCUUUGCUGCAGCUAACAUAAAGGAGAUUAGUUCUUGUGCUGACUGAUGCAGGAUUCACAAAGACAGGCUUCGGCCGACUUUGUAAACUCGAUCUCAAAUCAAGUAAGACUACCCGCUGAACUUAAGCAUAUCAAUAGCGGAGGA